Molecule: ribosomal RNA, 481 nt
Filed under: uncultured bacterium
Lineage: Bacteria
Description: partial 16S ribosomal RNA
Rfam family: Bacterial small subunit ribosomal RNA
Source: RNAcentral
AUUGAACGCUGGCGGCAUGCCUUACACAUGCAAGUCGAACGGUAACGGGCCUUCGGGUGCCGACGAGUGGCGAACGGGUGAGUAUACAUCGGAACGUGCCCGAUCGUGGGGGAUAACGAGGCGAAAGCUUUGCUAAUACCGCAUACGAUCUACGGAUGAAAGCAGGGGACCGCAAGGCCUUGCGCGGACGGAGCGGCCGAUGGCAGAUUGGGUAGUUGGUGGGAUAAAAGCUUACCAAGCCGACGAUCUGUAGCUGGUCUGAGAGGAUGAUCAGCCACACUGGGACUGAGACACGGCCCAGACUCCUACGGGAGGCAGCAGUGGGGAAUUUUGGACAAUGGGCGCAAGCCUGAUCCAGCCAUGCCGCGUGCAGGAUGAAGGCCUUCGGGUUGUAAACUGCUUUUGUACGGAACGAAAAGCCUUCUUUUAAUACAGGAGGGUCAUGACGGUACCGUAAGAAUAAGCACCGGCUAACUACGUG